UGGGGAAUAUUGCACAAUGGGCGCAAGCCUGAUGCAGCCAUGCCGCGUGUAUGAAGAAGGCCUUCGGGUUGUAAAGUACUUUCAGCGGGGAGGAAGGGAGUAAAGUUAAUACCUUUGCUCAUUUACGUUACCCGCAGAAGAAGCACCGGCUAACUCCGUGCCAGCAGCCGCGGUAAUACGGAGGGUGCAAGCGUUAAUCGGAAUUACUGGGCGUAAAGCGCACGCAGGCGGUUUGUUAAGUCAGAUGUGAAAUCCCCGGGCUCAACCUGGGAACUGCAUCUGAUACUGGCAAGCUUGAGUCUCGUAGAGGGGGGUAGAAUUCCAGGUGUAGCGGUGAAAUGCGUAGAGAUCUGGAGGAAUACCGGUGGCGAAGGCGGUCCCCUGGACGAAGACUGACGCUCAGGUGCGAAAGCGUGGGGAGCAAACAGG
This 429-nucleotide ribosomal RNA is filed under the name Chloroflexota bacterium. RNAcentral describes it as "Chloroflexi bacterium partial 16S ribosomal RNA". It matches the Rfam family "Bacterial small subunit ribosomal RNA", at positions 355 to 776 of the family's 1533-position model. The record is from RNAcentral. Lineage: Bacteria; Bacillati; Chloroflexota.